Molecule: ribosomal RNA, 510 nt
Filed under: uncultured bacterium
Lineage: Bacteria
Description: partial 16S ribosomal RNA
Rfam family: Bacterial small subunit ribosomal RNA
Source: RNAcentral
GACGAACGCUGGCGGCGUGCUUAACACAUGCAAGUCGAACGAAGAGCGAUGGAAGCUUGCUUCUAUCAAUCUUAGUGGCGAACGGGUGAGUAACGCGUAAUCAACCUGCCCUUCAGAGGGGGACAACAGUUGGAAACGACUGCUAAUACCGCAUACGAUCUAAACGCGGCAUCGAGGAUAGAUGAAAGGUGGCCUCGACAUGUAAGCUAUCACUGAAGGAGGGGAUUGCGUCGGAUUAGCUAGUUGGAGGGGUAACGGCCCACCAAGGCGAUGAUCAGUAGCCGGUCUGAGAGGAUGAACGGCCACAUUGGGACUGAGACACGGCCCAGACUCCUACGGGAGGCAGCAGUGGGGAAUCUUCCGCAAGGGACGAAAGUCUGACGGAGCAACGCCGCGUGAGUGAUGACGGCCUUCGGGUUGUAAAGCUCUGUUAAUCGGGACGAAAGGCCUUCUUGCGAAUAGUGAGAAGGAUUGACGGUACCGGAAUAGAAAGCCACGGCUAACUACGUG